Molecule: ribosomal RNA, 253 nt
Filed under: uncultured bacterium
Lineage: Bacteria
Description: partial 16S ribosomal RNA
Rfam family: Bacterial small subunit ribosomal RNA
Source: RNAcentral
CACGUAGGGCGCAAGCGUUGUCCGGAAUUAUUGGGCGUAAAGAGCUCGUAGGCGGUUUGUCGCGUCUGCCGUGAAAGUCCGGGGCUCAACUCCGGAUCUGCGGUGGGUACGGGCAGACUAGAGUGAUGUAGGGGAGACUGGAAUUCCUGGUGUAGCGGUGAAAUGCGCAGAUAUCAGGAGGAACACCGAUGGCGAAGGCAGGUCUCUGGGCAUUAACUGACGCUGAGGCGCGACAGCGUGGGGAGCAAACAGG